Molecule: ribosomal RNA, 171 nt
Filed under: uncultured bacterium
Lineage: Bacteria
Description: partial 16S ribosomal RNA
Rfam family: Bacterial small subunit ribosomal RNA
Source: RNAcentral
CCUACGGGAGGCAGCAGCGAGGAAUCUUGGUCAAUGGGCGCAAGCCUGAACCAGCGACGCCGCGUGGAGGACGAAGGCCCUCGGGUCGUAAACUCCUUUUGCGUGGGAAGAAGAUCUGACGGUACCACGCGAAUAAGCCACGGCUAACUACGUGCCAGCAGCCGCGGUAAU